Molecule: ribosomal RNA, 870 nt
Filed under: uncultured archaeon
Lineage: Archaea
Description: bacterial SSU rRNA
Rfam family: Archaeal small subunit ribosomal RNA
Source: RNAcentral
CUCCGGGUUGAUCCUAGGGGGACCCGACUGCUAUCAGAGUGGGACUAAGCCAUGCGAGUCAACAUAGCAAUAUGUGGCAUACGGCUCAGUAACACGUAGUCAACAUGCCCAGGGGACGUGGAUAACCUCGGGAAACUGAGGAUAAACCGCGAUAGGUCAUCACUUCUGGAAUGGGUAAUGACUUAAAUCUAUAUGGCCCCUGGAUUGGACUGCGGCCGAUCAGGCUGUUGGUGAGGUAAUGGCCCACCAAACCUGUAACCGGUACGGGCUCUGAGAGGAGGAGCCCGGAGAUGGGCACUGAGACAAGGGCCCAGGCCCUAUGGGGCGCAGCAGGCGCGAAACCUCUGCAAUAGGCGAAAGCUUGACAGGGUUACUCUGAGUGAUUUCCGUUAAGGAGAUCUUUUGGCACCUCUAAAAAUGGUGCAGAAUAAGGGGUGGGCAAGUCUGGUGUCAGCCGCCGCGGUAAUACCAGCACCCCGAGUGGUCGGGACGUUUAUUGGGCCUAAAGCAUCCGUAGCCGGUUCUACAAGUCUUCCGUUAAAUCCACCUGCUUAACAGAUGGGCUGCGGAAGAUACUAUAGAGCUAGGAGGCGGGAGAGGCAAGCGGUACUCGAUGGGUAGGGGUAAAAUCCGUUGAUCCAUUGAAGACCACCAGUGGCGAAGGCGGCUUGCCAGAACGCGCUCGACGGUGAGGGAUGAAAGCUGGGGGAGCAAACCGGAUUAGAUACCCGGGUAGUCCCAGCUGUAAACGAUGCAGACUCGGUGAUGAGUUGGCUUAUUGCUAACUCAGUGCCGCAGGGAAGCCGUUAAGUUUGCCGCCUGGGGAGUACGGUCGCAAGACUGAAACUUAAAGGAAUUGGCGGGGGAGCA